Botryobasidium botryosum FD-172 SS1 is the source of this 86-nucleotide transfer RNA. It matches the Rfam family "tRNA". Rfam says of the family: Transfer RNA (tRNA) molecules are approximately 80 nucleotides in length. Their secondary structure includes four short double-helical elements and three loops (D, anti-codon, and T loops). NCBI's taxonomy places the organism in Eukaryota, Fungi, Basidiomycota, Agaricomycetes, Cantharellales, Botryobasidiaceae. The record is from Rfam.
UGCCCCAUGGCCUAAUUGGUUAAGGCGUCCGACUGUUAGGACAACCGCAAAUCGGGAGAUUGAGAGUUCAAGCCUCUCUGGGGCAG